Molecule: ribosomal RNA, 482 nt
Filed under: uncultured bacterium
Lineage: Bacteria
Description: partial 16S ribosomal RNA
Rfam family: Bacterial small subunit ribosomal RNA
Source: RNAcentral
AUUGAACGCUGGCGGCAUGCCUUACACAUGCAAGUCGAACGGUAUCGGGCCUUCGGGUGCCGACGAGUGGCGAACGGGUGAGUAAUACAUCGGAACGUGCCCGAUCGUGGGGGAUAACGAGGCGAAAGCUUUGCUAAUACCGCAUACGAUCUACGGAUGAAAGCAGGGGACCGCAAGGCCUUGCGCGGACGGAGCGGCCGAUGGCAGAUUAGGUAGUUGGUGGGAUAAAAGCUUACCAAGCCGACGAUCUGUAGCUGGUCUGAGAGGAUGAUCAGCCACACUGGGACUGAGACACGGCCCAGACUCCUACGGGAGGCAGCAGUGGGGAAUUUUGGACAAUGGGCGCAAGCCUGAUCCAGCCAUGCCGCGUGCAGGAUGAAGGCCUUCGGGUUGUAAACUGCUUUUGUACGGAACGAAAAGCCUUCUUUUAAUACAGGAGGGUCAUGACGGUACCGUAAGAAUAAGCACCGGCUAACUACGUG